Molecule: ribosomal RNA, 666 nt
Filed under: uncultured bacterium
Lineage: Bacteria
Description: bacterial SSU rRNA
Rfam family: Bacterial small subunit ribosomal RNA
Source: RNAcentral
GGCAGACGGGUGAGUAACACGUGGGAACCUUCCCUUCGGUACGGAAUAGCUCCGGGAAACUGGAAUUAAUACCGUAUACGCCCCUUGGGGGAAAGAUUUAUCGCCGAAGGAUGGGCCCGCGUCGGAUUAGCUAGUUGGUGGGGUAAUGGCCCACCAAGGCAACGAUCCGUAGCUGGUCUUAGAGGAUGAUCAGCCACACUGGGACUGAGACACGGCCCAGACUCCUACGGGAGGCAGCAGUGGGGAAUAUUGGACAAUGGGCGAAAGCUUGAUCCAGCAAUGCCGCGUGUGUGAAGAAGGCCUGAGGGUUGUAAAGCACUUUCAAUAGAGACGAAAAGCCUAGGGUUAAUACCCUUGGGUCUUGACUUAACCUAUAGAAGAAGCACCGGCUAACUCCGUGCCAGCAGCCGCGGUAAUACGGGAGGGUGCAAGCGUUAAUCGGAAUUACUGGGCGUAAAGCGCUCGUAGGCGGUUUGUUAAGUCGGAUGUGAAAGCCCCGGGCUCAACCUGGGAACUGCAUUCGAUACUGACAGGCUAGAGUAUAGUAGAGGCAAGUGGAAUUCCGGGUGUAGCGUGAAAUGCGUAAUUCCGGAGGAACAUCAGUGGCAAGGCACUUGCUGGAUAAUACUGACGCUGAGAGCGAAGCGUGGGGAGCAAACGGGAUUA